AGAUUAUUUAAAAGGAAAAAACACUUUCAGUACGGUCUCAAUACUGUAUCAUACUAUACAAUUGAAUCAAAUCAGAAAUAUCACAUUUACCAGAAACCAGAAAAUGGUCUCCGACAAUCCCAACAUACUCAGACACUUUAAAAUACUUCCAUGCAACAAAUGACACAGUUAUCAAUAAAAAAUAUGGUUUAACUGAGGGCAGUGCCAUGUUUUCAACAGAUUUCACUAGAAGCUGGAUUAUAACACAGCCAGGUCAUGUACGCGUCACGCGUGACUAACAUUCUUUGACCAAAUGCACUUCUCCGGCACAGAGAUAUGUUGAGUGAAUGUUGAGUCCUCCUAACAUCAUUUGCUAACUGCUAAGUAUUAACCUUCUGCUGUGUUGCCAUCAAUGGUCCUCAAUAAUUUAAAACUAUUUCAUUAUACAGCUUACAAUGUCAACUUUUAUGCUUUAAAAGUGUUUUUUGCAGGAGUGAAAUUACUAAAAAGGUCUUUUGCACAAAUAUUUGGUUUUUAUUUGGCAUGACAUGUCAUUUCAAACUUGGAAUUAGUCACAUAAGGUAAUCAUUUUAUGUAACUCGUAGUGGGGAAAAAUAUACAAAUACAU
Long non-coding RNA from Sander lucioperca (pikeperch), 607 nucleotides. RefSeq lists it as uncharacterized. The record is from RefSeq and is a predicted model, not a curated record. The transcript is spliced from 2 exons. Lineage: Eukaryota; Metazoa; Chordata; Actinopteri; Perciformes; Percidae.